Molecule: small nuclear RNA, 27 nt
Filed under: Arabidopsis thaliana (thale cress)
Lineage: Eukaryota; Viridiplantae; Streptophyta; Magnoliopsida; Brassicales; Brassicaceae
Description: snRNA_02088
Source: RNAcentral
UGCCACGAUCCACUGAGAUUCAGCCCU